RNAcentral lists this long non-coding RNA (553 nucleotides) under Rattus norvegicus (Norway rat). Its description in RNAcentral is "long non-coding RNA NONRATT016435". Lineage: Eukaryota; Metazoa; Chordata; Mammalia; Rodentia; Muridae. The record is from RNAcentral.
CCAGACUCUCCACUAGCAGGCAGUGGUUUCUAACAAGGACGCCUGUGGUUCUCAGAUUAAUACAGGGAUUGGCUGAAUGAAGUCUAGCUGCGGACAUAACCUCAUCCGGAGAUUCUGGACUGACAGUGUUUUGUAGUCCAAGCAGAGACACAGGUGCCAGCACUAUACAUCUUUACCUCUGUCCAAUUUUGUAUUUUAUAAGUCUGGAUGGAUAGACAGUCUUCUUUGUUUCUGAAACAUUACUUUUUAAAAAAUUUAUUUAUUUAAUAGUAUUAGAGAAUCAGAAUAGGACCUUGUAUGCCAUAUAUGUACUGAUUUUAGGACAGUAUUUAGGUUGCCUGGGAUGAUAUUGAACUCAGUUGCUAGUGCAGGAAAUCCUUGAACUUGGAAUCUACCCUUUGCCUCCCAAGUUGCUGGCCUUACAGGCCUACUUCACAGGGACUGCCUCUCUUCCAAAUAAGUUUUGAUUGGCUCCAUGAAUAAUCAAAUCGCCUUCAAAAUUCAAGUUUUUUAAUUGAAAUGCCUUUUUUCCUUCAUUUCCUUAGACCCCUAA